AAGGGCAGGGAGCAGCAGGUGUUUAAAGGUCAAGGACCACAGGAGGAGGCAGGGAGCUGGGUCCAAGGGCAGGGAGCAGCAGGUGUUUAAAGGUCAAGGACCACAGGAGGAGGCAGGUAGCUGGGUCCAAGGGCAGGGAGCAGCAGGUGUUUAAAGGGCAAGGACCACAGGAGGAGGCAGGU
This is a long non-coding RNA of Oncorhynchus kisutch (coho salmon), 182 nucleotides long. RefSeq lists it as uncharacterized. The record is from RefSeq and is a predicted model, not a curated record. NCBI's taxonomy places the organism in Eukaryota, Metazoa, Chordata, Actinopteri, Salmoniformes, Salmonidae. The transcript is spliced from 3 exons.